GACAGUGAAAUCCAUCACAGAUGCCUAAGAUAGAGCACUGCAAGAUAAAAAGGGACCACCUGGCUUCAUAGUCUCAUCUCCUGGGCAACCCAGUUUACUAUGUUUCACUCCACUGAACAGAAGUACCAGCAGCAAUCCAAGAAGGAUCCGCAAAAAUUCCUGGGAGGUUUCCAGUUCAGGGAUGGAUCCAGCCCAAAACCUGAUAGCAUCUAAUAAGGCUCUAUAUUGAAUGAGGAAAAUCUUCUGCUUUUUCUACUGUCACAACUCUUUGUCUUUCAAUGUGCUGCUCAUGAACUGCUGAAGCUUAUUAUGUUUAAAUAAUAAAAGAAUGGAAACCAAGAGAAUGA
Molecule: long non-coding RNA, 347 nt
Organism: Cyanistes caeruleus (blue tit)
Lineage: Eukaryota; Metazoa; Chordata; Aves; Passeriformes; Paridae
Source: RefSeq, a predicted model, not a curated record